GUCUUUUUGAGUUAUUUUUAAAGACUGACCUGCCCACUGAAUAUUUUUAAAUGGCCGCAGUAUUCUAACUGUGCAAAGGUAGCAUAAUCAUUAGUCUUUUAAUUGAAGGCUGGUAUGAACGGUUGGACGAAGUAUAAGCUGUUUCAUAUAAAAUUAUAUUAGAAUUUUAUAUUUUAGUUAAAAAGCUAAAAUAUUAUUAAAAGACGAGAAGACCCUAUAAAUCUUUAUAUUUAAUAUUAUCCAAAUUUUUUUGAUUAAUUUUAUUUUUAUAAUAUUAAAUAUUUUGUUGGGGUGAUAUUAAAAUUUAACAAACUUUUAAUUUUGAAUUAGAACAUUAAUUUAUGAAUAGUUGAUCCAUUAUUAAUGAUUAUAAGAUUAAGUUACUUUAGGGAUAACAGCGUAAUUUUUUUUGAGAGUUCAUAUCGACAAAAAAGUUUGCGACCUCGAUGUUGGAUUAAGAUAUAUAUUUAGGUGUAGCCGUUUAAAUAUUAAGUCUGUUCGACUUUUAAAUUCUUACAUGAUCUGAGUUCAA
RNAcentral lists this ribosomal RNA (532 nucleotides) under Ceratitis anonae. Its description in RNAcentral is "partial 16S ribosomal RNA". The stretch from base 391 to 532 matches the Rfam family "Bacterial large subunit ribosomal RNA", at positions 2473 to 2614 of the family's 2925-position model. The record is from RNAcentral. Lineage: Eukaryota; Metazoa; Arthropoda; Insecta; Diptera; Tephritidae.